Non-coding RNA from Cyanistes caeruleus (blue tit), 509 nucleotides. NCBI's taxonomy places the organism in Eukaryota, Metazoa, Chordata, Aves, Passeriformes, Paridae. The record is from RefSeq and is a predicted model, not a curated record.
UCAAAACCAAAUAUAUCUGAGAUUAGCAAAGACAACACUGCACCUCAGUGGGCAUGGACAUUUCCAUCUGCACAAAUAAUACUCUCUAAUUUUCACUUGAGCCAAACUGCAAGAGGAGGAGGGGCUAUGAUAGGCAUGCAAAACAAGAAAUGGAAAACUUAGACACUCGCUCACCCUACACUGAAAACUCUGAUACCAGCACAUGGGACACAACUGAGCUGACAGCUGCCCGAUCAUGUUUGAAUUACUGAAAAUGAGAACGUUUUCAAAGUUUCUAGCCAUGAUAUUUAUGUAGCCCUGAAUGAGGAGAGCAGGCAAGCUAUGGAUUCAAAUGUUGGCCAGAGAAGACAAACACAGAAUGGAUACUGCUAUGUUCACCCAUGCUUCUAUACUUGUGCAAAGUGUCUGGAAUGCUCACAGAAGUAUGCAAAAAGGACAGAAUUCCUCCUUUUUUUUUGUUUGUUUUUGUUCGUUUUUUUGUUUUAAGGUCUCUAGAAGCUUUGUUGGAA